This 480-nucleotide long non-coding RNA is filed under the name Capra hircus (goat). Its description in RNAcentral is "lncRNA (ENSCHIG00000004771.1)". Lineage: Eukaryota; Metazoa; Chordata; Mammalia; Artiodactyla; Bovidae. The record is from RNAcentral.
AUAUAUUUAUCUGUUUUCUCUAAAAUUUUUUGAUACUGCUUUGAAGGAAUCCUAAGAGGCACAAUUUUUCGAAAUGCUGCAAGCUAGUAGGUGAUAUGGAAGAAUAAAACGCAUGAUCAGAAAGUAAAGAAAGCUGACGUGGAAGAAAAGAAGAAAAAGAUGCAAGCAAUUGGAUCAAUUCAGAGAAACCAUAUCAGGGCUCUAAUGAGCAAUGGAUGAGAAAAAACAGAUGCAAAACGUCUGGUGCACACGAGAGAUGGUCCAUAACAGUGCUGUGAUGAGCCCCCAUCCCAGACGCCCACUGUGACCCAGCCUCCUUAUUCCCGGAGCACAGCUCCCAUCUGCGUAGCCCUCUCACACUCCAGCCGUCGUCUUAUGAUUUGUCUUCAGCAUCAUGUGGCUUCUAUGUGCUCAAGCUUGAGGCGCUGGAGAGCUUUCAAGAAAAGGUAAGACAUCUAUGAGUUGGAUAUAUGUCGUCAU